AGCAGUAUGGUGUAAUGAUGCACGCGGGAUUUUCUUGCGUAUCAAGCUGAAGUGCAAUCCCCGAGGUCCUUGUUCGAAUCAAGGUACUGCCC
Molecule: non-coding RNA, 92 nt
Organism: Mycena leptocephala
Lineage: Eukaryota; Fungi; Basidiomycota; Agaricomycetes; Agaricales; Mycenaceae
Source: the annotation of a GenBank genome assembly